AGCGUUACCCGAUUUACUGGCGUAAGGGCGUGUACGCGGUCUUUCAAGUCCGAUGCUAAAGACUGGGGCUCAACCCCAGGGGUGCGUUGGAUACUGUGAGGCUAGACGGUCGGAGGGGGUAGCGGAAUUUCCGGAGUAGCGGUGAAAUGCGCAGAUACCGGAAGGAACGCCAAUAGCGAAGGCAGCUACCUGGACGACUUGUGACGCUGAGGCGCGAAAGCGUGGGGAGCAAACCGGAUUAGAUACCCGGGUAGUCCACGCCCUAAACCAUGAGUGCUGGGUGUCCGGCUUCUGCUGGGUGCCGUAGCUAACGCGCUAAGCACUCCGCCUGGGAAGUACGCACGCAAGUGUGAAACUCAAAGGAAUUGACGGGGGCCCGCACAAGCGGUGGAGCAUGUGGUUUAAUUCGAAGCGACGCGAAGAACCUUACCAGGCCUUGACAUGCCCGGAACCCCUCUGAAAGGAGGGGGUGCCCGCAAGGGAGCCGGGACACAGGUGCUGCAUGGCCGUCGUCAGCUCGUGUCGUGAGAUGUUGGGUUAAGUCCCGCAACGAGCGCAACCCCUAUCCCUAGUUGCCAGCAGUUCGGCUGGGCACUCUAUGGAGACUGCCUGCGAAAGCAGGAGGAAGGCGGGGAUGACGUCUGGUCCGCAUGGCCCUUACGGCCUGGGCGACACACGUGCUACAAUGCCAAGGACAGAGCGCUGCUACCUCGCGAGAGGACGCCAAUCGCAAAAACCUUGGCUCAGUUCGGAUUGGAGUCUGCAACUCGACUCCAUGAAG
This 781-nucleotide ribosomal RNA is filed under the name uncultured Thermaceae bacterium. RNAcentral describes it as "bacterial SSU rRNA". It matches the Rfam family "Bacterial small subunit ribosomal RNA", at positions 537 to 1325 of the family's 1533-position model. Lineage: Bacteria; Thermotogati; Deinococcota; Deinococci; Thermales; Thermaceae. The record is from RNAcentral.